AUUAGAUACCCGGGUAGUCCGGCUGACUGACUCUUACACCAAGUAUCUCGUAUGCCGUCUUCUGCUUGAAAAAAAAAAAAUAGCUUAACUUUUGUAAGGCUUGCGAACUGGCAGACUUGAGUGCAGGAGAGGAAAGUGGAAUUCCUAGUGUAGCGGUGAAAUGCGUAGAUAUUAGGAGGAACACCAGUGGCGAAGGCGACCUUCUGGACUGUAACUGACUCUGAGGCACGAAAGCGUGGGGAGCAAACAG
This 250-nucleotide ribosomal RNA is filed under the name uncultured prokaryote. RNAcentral's name for it is "partial 16S rRNA". The stretch from base 50 to 250 matches the Rfam family "Bacterial small subunit ribosomal RNA", at positions 567 to 775 of the family's 1533-position model. The record is from RNAcentral.